GCUCAGGAUGAACGCUGGCGGCGUGCUUAACACAUGCAAGUCGAACGGUGAAGCAGGAGCUUGCUCUUGUGGAUCAGUGGCGAACGGGUGAGUAACACGUGAGCAACCUGCCCCUGACUCUGGGAUAAGCGCUGGAAACGGCGUCUAAUACUGGAUAUGUGACGUGACCGCAUGGUCUGCGUUUGGAAAGAUUUUUCGGUUGGGGAUGGGCUCGCGGCCUAUCAGCUUGUUGGUGAGGUAAUGGCUCACCAAGGCGUCGACGGGUAGCCGGCCUGAGAGGGUGACCGGCCACACUGGGACUGAGACACGGCCCAGACUCCUACGGGAGGCAGCAGUGGGGAAUAUUGCACAAUGGGCGAAAGCCUGAUGCAGCAACGCCGCGUGAGGGAUGACGGCCUUCGGGUUGUAAACCUCUUUUAGCAGGGAAGAAGCGAAAGUGACGGUACCUGCAGAAAAAGCGCCGGCUAACUACGUGCCAGCAGCCGCGGUAAUACGUAGGGCGCAAGCGUUAUCCGGAAUUAUUGGGCGUAAAGAGCUCGUAGGCGGUUUGUCGCGUCUGCUGUGAAAUCCCGAGGCUCAACCUCGGGCCUGCAGUGGGUACGGGCAGACUAGAGUGCGGUAGGGGAGAUUGGAAUUCCUGGUGUAGCGGUGGAAUGCGCAGAUAUCAGGAGGAACACCGAUGGCGAAGGCAGAUCUCUGGGCCGUAACUGACGCUGAGGAGCGAAAGGGUGGGGAGCAAACAGGCUUAGAUACCCUGGUAGUCCACCCCGUAAACGUUGGGAACUAGUUGUGGGGUCCAUUCCACGGAUUCCGUGACGCAGCUAACGCAUUAA
Molecule: ribosomal RNA, 833 nt
Filed under: Microbacterium sp.
Lineage: Bacteria; Bacillati; Actinomycetota; Actinomycetes; Micrococcales; Microbacteriaceae
Description: bacterial SSU rRNA
Rfam family: Bacterial small subunit ribosomal RNA
Source: RNAcentral